CCUACGGGCGGCAGCAGUGAGGAAUAUUGGUCAAUGGGCGCAGGCCUGAACCAGCCAAGUCGCGUGAGGGAAGACUGCCCUAUGGGUUGUAAACCUCUUUUAUAAGGGAAGAAUAAUGACUACGUGUAGUCAGAUGCCCGUACCUUAUGAAUAAGCAUCGGCUAACUCCGUGCCAGCAGCCGCGGUAAUACGGAGGAUGCGAGCGUUAUCCGGAUUUAUUGGGUUUAAAGGGUGCGUAGGCGGAUUUUUAAGUCAGCGGUAAAAUGUCCGGGCUCAACCCGGGCCGGCCGUUGAAACUGGGGAUCUUGAGUGGGCGAGAAGUAUGCGGAAUGCGUGGUGUAGCGGUGAAAUGCAUAGAUAUCACGCAGAACUCCGAUUGCGAAGGCAGCAUACCGGCGCCCGACUGACGCUGAGGCACGAAAGCGUGGGGAUCGAACAGGAUUAGAUACCCCAGUAGUC
This 459-nucleotide ribosomal RNA is filed under the name uncultured bacterium. RNAcentral describes it as "partial 16S ribosomal RNA". It matches the Rfam family "Bacterial small subunit ribosomal RNA", at positions 338 to 795 of the family's 1533-position model. The record is from RNAcentral.